Molecule: non-coding RNA, 112 nt
Filed under: Blastococcus sp.
Lineage: Bacteria; Bacillati; Actinomycetota; Actinomycetes; Geodermatophilales; Geodermatophilaceae
Also listed under: 1 other name
Description: TPP sequence
Rfam family: TPP riboswitch aptamer (THI element)
About the family: Vitamin B(1) in its active form thiamin pyrophosphate (TPP) is an essential coenzyme that is synthesised by coupling of pyrimidine and thiazole moieties in bacteria. The previously detected thiamin-regulatory element, thi box was extended, resulting in a new, highly conserved RNA secondary structure, the THI element, which is widely distributed in eubacteria and also occurs in some archaea.
Source: RNAcentral
GUGGCCAUGUGCGGGAGCUCGGACCUACCGGGCUGAGAGGGCGGCUGAUGGGCCGCCGACCGCUCGAACCUGACCGGGUAAUGCCGGCGUAGGGAGCGAUCAUGAGCAUGCU